AUUGAACGCUGGCGGCAGGCCUAACACAUGCAAGUCGAGCGGAUGAAGGGAGCUUGCUCCUGGAUUCAGCGGCGGACGGGUGAGUAAUGCCUAGGAAUCUGCCUGGUAGUGGGGGAUAACGUCCGGAAACGGGGGCUAAUACCGCAUACGUCCUGAGGGAGAAAGUGGGGGAUCUUCGGACCUCACGCUAUCAGAUGAGCCUAGGUCGGAUUAGCUAGUUGGUGGGGUAAAGGCCUACCAAGGUGACGAUCCGUAACUGGUCUGAGAGGAUGAUCAGUCACACUGGAACUGAGACACGGUCCAGACUCCUACGGGAGGCAGCAGUGGGGAAUAUUGGACAAUGGGCGAAAGCCUGAUCCAGCCAUGCCGCGUGUGUGAAGAAGGUCUUCGGAUUGUAAAGCACUUUAAGUUGGGAGGAAGGGCAGUAAGUUAAUACCUUGCUGUUUUGACGUUACCAACAGAAUAAGCACCGGCUAACUUCGUG
This 484-nucleotide ribosomal RNA is filed under the name uncultured bacterium. Its description in RNAcentral is "partial 16S ribosomal RNA". It matches the Rfam family "Bacterial small subunit ribosomal RNA", at positions 30 to 507 of the family's 1533-position model. The record is from RNAcentral.